Molecule: ribosomal RNA, 287 nt
Filed under: uncultured bacterium
Lineage: Bacteria
Description: partial 16S ribosomal RNA
Rfam family: Bacterial small subunit ribosomal RNA
Source: RNAcentral
UGUAUCCUACGGGGGGCAGCAGUGGGGGAUAUUGCACAAUGGGGGGAACCCUGAUGCAGCGACGCCGCGUGGGCGAUGGAGUGCUUCGGCAUGUAAAGCCCUAUCAGCAGGGAAGAAAAUGACGGUACCUGACUAAGAAGCCCCGGCUAAAUACGUGCCAGCAGCCGCGGUAAUACGUAUGGGGCAAGCGUUAUCCGGAUUUAUUGGGCGUAAAGGGAACGCAGGCGGUCUUUUAAGUCUGAUGUGAAAGCCUUCGGCUUAACCGGAGUAGUGCCUUGGAAACUGGG